This 497-nucleotide ribosomal RNA is filed under the name uncultured bacterium. Its description in RNAcentral is "partial 16S ribosomal RNA". It matches the Rfam family "Bacterial small subunit ribosomal RNA", at positions 28 to 507 of the family's 1533-position model. The record is from RNAcentral.
GACGAACGCUGGCGGCGUGCCUAAUACAUGCAAGUAGAACGCUGAAGAGAGGAGCUUGCUCUUCUUGGAUUAGUUGCGAACGGGUGAGUAACGCGUAGGUAACCUGCCUUGUAGCGGGGGAUAACUAUUGGAAACGAUAGCUAAUACCGCAUAACAAUGGAUGACACAUGUCAUUUAUUUGAAAGGCGCAAUUGCUCUACUACAUGAUGGACCUGCGUUGUAUUAGCUAGUAGGUGAGGUAAUGGCUAACCUAGGCGACGGUACAUAGCCGACCGGAAAGGGGGAUAGGCCCACAUGGGACGGGAGCACGGGCCAGAACCCUGCGGGAGGGAGCAGGAGGGAAUCCUCGGGAAUGGGGGCAACGCGGAACGAGCAACGACGCGUGGGUGAAGAAGGUUGUCGAGUCGGAAAGAUGUGUUGUGAGUGAAGGACGAGAGGGAGAGUGGAAAGUGCACACUGUGACGGUAGCUUACCAGAAAGGGACGGCUAACUACGUG